UAUAUUUACACAUAGAAUAUAAUUAAGUCAUUUGUUUCAUUCAUAUCUUAGCCUUAUAUACUAAGGUCUCACAAAUAUAUCGUAUCCUUUUCUCUUGUUGUUCCAAUAAGUGCAACAAGAAAAAAAGAUCAAGAUGAAGAUCUUAAUGUUGAGAAGAACAACAAGAAAAAGACUUUUGUUGAAGAUGAUGUUGGAUCCAUGGCCAGAUGAUGGAACAAAGAAGUGAUCACAAGAAAAUAUGCCCUCUAGGCAAGUCUGAUGCUUGGCUUUUUCAUCUCUCUUUGUUGGUUUAAUUUCCACAUAAUCAUCAAAUAAUGUUUACUAUCUUAGUAUAUAUUAUCAUAAUAUCAUGUUAUUUAUAAGAUAUUAUUUAAGUUAUCUAUUUCACUAUGUCUAUGAAUAAUCCUUCUCACUUUCUCUGUUGAGAUGAUGAGUUGAUGAUAUUAUUAUGUAGCCUUCUUUGUCUGCUUAUGCUAUGCCAUAGCUGCAUUUUUAUUACUAUUUCUAUGAAUAAGAAUCAGUUUUUUUUCCCCUGUUCUUAAUUUAUUGAGUUGAUCUAUGUAAUGACAAUUCAUAUUUAAAGUGUAUCUGAUGUCCAACAUGUGUCAGAACCUAACAUUGACAGAUGAGUUACUAAUGAUUAAUUCUAUUUUCUUAAAAUAUAUAUUACGGAUGUCAACGUAUGACAUGUUUGUGUCAAUGCUUCAUAUAAUAUACAUUUGGCAAGGUUAGAAAAUUA
Molecule: long non-coding RNA, 739 nt
Filed under: Trifolium pratense (red clover)
Lineage: Eukaryota; Viridiplantae; Streptophyta; Magnoliopsida; Fabales; Fabaceae
Description: long non-coding RNA (TPRA_LNC009158)
Source: RNAcentral